UAAAUUUAAUUUUAAUUGAUAAUUAUUCAUAAUCAAUAAAUUAAUUCCAUCUAUCUCUGUAAAGAAUAAAUAUAAAUUUCUAGUAAUUAUUUAUUAACUAAAAUACCUUUUGUAUAAUGGUUUAACAAUUAAAAUAAUAAUAUUUUUAUCCCGAAAAUAAAUGAGCUUAAUUAUUGUUGUUCAGAACUAAAAAUUUAAAGUAAAAAUUUUAUUUUAAAACAAUAAUUAAGAAGCCACAUACUUUUCGCAUUUAUUAAUAUCUGGUUACAUAAAUAAACUAUUUAAUAGUUAAUUCAAUUAUGAAUCUAUAAAAAUUAAAGGAUAAGCUUUAAUUUAAACCCUUUUUAAUUUAAUAUUUAUAAAUUUAAGCUUAAAAUUAGCUAUAAUUCUAAUUAUGUCAUAAUUUUUAUUUUCAUAAAUCUAAAAUUAUUUAUAUUAUGUAACUUUAAAAAACCUAAAUUAAUUUAUUUUAUGUUAAAAUUAGUAUUUCUAUAUCUAUUAUUAUAUUAUUUUAUAAUUUUAUUUAAAGGAACUCGGCAAUAAUUUUUUUGGCUGUUUAACAAAAACAUAGUUCUCUGCUUAUUUAUAGAGAAUAAUUUCUGCUCAAUGUAAUUUAUAAAUAGCUGCAUCAUAUGUACUAAGGUAGCGUAAUAAUUUGCCUUUUAAUUGGAGGAUUGUAUGAAGGAAAACACAAGAAAAAUGCUGUCUCUAUAUUAUAAAUAAAAAUUAAUCUAUAGGUGAAAAAGCCUAUAUUAAAUAAAUAGACAAGAAGACCCUGUUGAGCUUUUUCUAAUAAAUAAUAAUUAGAUUUUGUUGGGGCAACAUAAAUUAUUAAAAUCAAUUUUAAUCAAACAAAGAAUAAAUUCAUUUUAAUCAUCUUAUUUUAUAAAAAAUUAAUAAGUUACCACAGGGAUAACAGGCUAAUUUUUUUAUAGAGUACAAAUUAACAAAAAAGUUUGGCACCUCGAUGUUGGCUUAAGGUUUCAUUUAAAAGUAGUAAUUUAAAUAGUUGGUUUGUUCAACCAUUAAAACCUUACGUGAUCUGAGNUCAGACCGGCC
This 1059-nucleotide ribosomal RNA is filed under the name Myzostoma seymourcollegiorum. Its description in RNAcentral is "partial 16S ribosomal RNA". The stretch from base 511 to 1059 matches the Rfam family "Eukaryotic large subunit ribosomal RNA", at positions 1891 to 2973 of the family's 3401-position model. The record is from RNAcentral. Lineage: Eukaryota; Metazoa; Annelida; Myzostomida; Myzostomatidae.